This 8807-nucleotide long non-coding RNA is filed under the name Podarcis lilfordi (Lilford's wall lizard). Lineage: Eukaryota; Metazoa; Chordata; Lepidosauria; Squamata; Lacertidae. The record is from RNAcentral.
GCAAUAUGGACCGUGGGCUUCUGAUUCCGAUUAGAAGUUCUGCUUCAUCCAGGAGCUUAAGAGGAAGCUGCUUUAGGCCAGCAGUCGGGCCCCUGGUUCAUCUCCUAGCCCACCAGGGAAGAGAAAAGCCUCUCCUCAUAGCUGAGGCCUAAUCCUUCCUUUUAAACUGGAGGGGCUGCAGACUGAAGCUCCGACCUGCCUGGAAAGCUGCUGCUCUCCUGCUGACCUGUGAGCCUGGACGCCUCAGUGGGAGGCAAUUAUUAUUAAAAACAGUACAUAACAGCUGCAGCCUUGAAUAUAUAGAGCAAAAGGGUUUCAACUAAAGGGGCACCUCAGAUCAGCCAGGUAAGCUUUAUAAAGGUCAUUAUUUAAAUAAAAGUGGAAACUUGGGGUUGGAAGAGACCUCAGGAAUCAUCUCGUCUAGCCCCCUACUGAUAGGUAGCCCUUCAGCCCCUGCUCAAAAACUGCCAGUGAAGGAGAGGCCACCGGUUCUCCUGUCCAAAAGCUCAAACCACCAGGGACUUCUUCCUAAUGUUUAGGCUAAAUCCUUUUCCUUCUGAUUUGUAUCCACUGGUUCAGUAGCUACCCUCUGGGAGCAACAUAAAAUGAAUUUGAGCCAUUGUGUGUGUAACAGCCCUGCACAUAGUUGAAGGUGGCCAUCAUAUUGCCUCUUAAUAGUCUCUUCUCCAGGCCAGCCAACUCCAAGGACUUAGAAUCAUAGAAUCAUAGAGUUGGAAGAGACCACAAGGGCCAUCGAGUCCAACCCCCUGUCAAGCAGGAAACACCAUCAGAGCACUCCUGACAUAUGGUUGUCAAGCCUCUGCUUAAAGACCUCCAAAGAAGGAGACUCCACCACACUCCUUGGCAGCAAAUUCCACUGUCAAACAGCUCUUACUGUCAGGAAGUUCUUCCUAAUGUUUAGGUGGAAUCUUCUUUCUUGUAGUUUGGAUCCAUUGCUCCGUGUCCGCAUCUCUGGAGCAGCAGAAAAUAACCUUUCUCCCUCCUCUAUGUGACAUCCUUUUAUAUAUUUGAACAUGGCUAUCAUAUCACCCCUUAACCUCCUCUUCUCCAGGCUAAACAUACCCAAGUCCUUAGCUGUUCCUCAUAAGGCAUCGUUUCCAGGCCUUUGACCAUUUUGGUUGCCCUCCUCUGGACACGUUCCAGUUUGUCAGUGUCCUUCUUGAACUGUGGUGCCCAGAACUGGACACAGUACUCCAGGUGAGGUCUGACCAGAGCAGAAUACAGUGGCACUAUUACUUCCCUUGAUCUAGAUGCUAUACUCCUAUUGAUGUAGCCCAGAAUUGCAUUGGCUUUUUAGCUGCCGCGUCACACUGUUGGCUCAUGUCAAGUUUGUGGUCAACCAAGACUCCUAGAUCCUUUUCACAUGUACUGCUCUCAAGCCAGGUGUCACCCAUCUUGUAUUUGUGCCUCUCAUUUUUUUGCCCAAGUGCAAUACUUUACAUUUCUCCCUGUUAAAAUUCAUCUUGUUUGUUUUGGCCCAGUUCUCUAAUCUGUCAAGGUCGUUUUGAAGUGUGAUCCUGUCCUCUGGGGUGUUAGCCACCCCUCCCAGUUUGGUGUCAUCUGCAAAUUUGAUCAGGAUGCCCUUGAGUCCAUCAUCCAAGUCGUUGAUAAAGAUGUUGAAUAAGACCGGGCCCAAGACAGAACCAUUGAUGAGCACCCUUUGGGUUCAGUCAGUCAGCCAUUAAUUCAUUAUAAUUUUUUUCCCCAGAAGUCUUUCACCUUGGGACAGGUCCACCACAUAUGAUAGAAGGUACCUUCCUUUUCUUUACAUUUCCAACAUAGAUUAUCACAGUGAUGGUAAAUCGUCGCCAGUUUAGGACUUCCGGGGUGGCGCCAUCGGCAAUGGCGGAUUCCCUCUGAUCCGGAGGGACCAGCUCCAUGGGAAACGGGUCUUUCCCGCUACGGCGAAGUGGGGACCCUUUCAAAAAUCACAGGCGGAUGAAGCCUGUGACCAUGGGACUCGGCGGGCACCUUUAGCGCCCCCCCAACCCGCAAGGGAACCCACUAACGGGCUCCGGAGCAAAGAGGGGGAAGUGGCGCGGUGCUGAGAGUCAACUGCUUCUUCCGUGGAGCAAAGCCGCACAGCCAGUUUAACAGGGGUUAAAUACCAUCUAUACAUCAUUUUCAUAAUAUUUUCCUUUAACAUUGUACAUGCAGUAAACUUAACCCCUUUCUCCGUUGCCGGAGAGCGCUGCCUUUUUCCUGGGACAAUUUGGCUUUCAAAACAAUCACCCGUGAGUACUUAAACUUCAGACAAUUGGACUUUAAAUAAUGAUUUGCGAGUAGAAAGGAAAAUUGGACUAAGAAAUUUACCUCAAUUUGGCACUGAAAUGGGAAGGUCUAAACAGGAAGUCAGCCUUCCGUUUCUUUGUAGAUAGAUUAAAGCAAAGACAUGGCAAACUAGAGUUCAGAAAAUCGCUUGUAAAGGAUUAACUUUCAUCAUUUAAAAUUGUUGAACCCCCUUCGGAAGCAGGAGAAGAGGGGGGAUUUUUUCCGGACUGUUUAAACCUGCAGAAGAGAGUGUAAAGUAAAGUAACUUUCCACCGUCUUGAUCCUGGAGCGGGGUGUCAGGACUGACGUUCUUUGGGAAGCUCAUUGACCAGAGACGAACGUUUUUGACAGAUAGUUAAAAGAAGAGAAACAUAGUGAUUCCAUUGUUCCCCUUUGCAUUUUAAAGGAACAAAUAUUGACAAAAUACCUGAAAAAGGAAACUUUGUUGUUAGAUCUGCCUUUAAAAGAAAAGAACAAAUAGAAGUUCUUCCCCUAGAGGGAGCCUGUGAAACUGUUACCAAUUUUGAAUCGGGGAGCAUGCAGCUGCAACAGAUUACGAUCGUGGGAAUAGACUUCUGACCUUGCAGAACAAUGUAUUCAGAAGCUCUGCUGUGUGCUUUCUGCAAUACAAGUGCCCUACUGGAACAGCUACAUGAGAAGACGGACUUGAUGACUGUUGCGAUCAGAAAUUUUGGACAGGCAGUGGGAAACUAUAUAGAGCCCACCCAGGAAUCAAAUCAGGAGUGUGCUCUGACAGAACAGAUGAGGGAAGAGGAUGUUGCUGAACCUUGGGCGCCAGAGAUGGAGGGAGUUGUGGCCCAGCAGGAACAUGAGUUCUUGGAUCUGACAAAUGAACUUGGAAAAAGCCAGAUUUGGAAAGAUAAAGUUUGGUUUGGUUUGGAAAUGGGGGGUUGGAUAGACCCCCCCUAUGCAGGGAUGUUUGGACUUUUCAAGUCUGGCAAUGGGCCGCGAGAUGUUUGGGGUUGUGGGGGCUCUUAAUUCUGGUGGGACUUUGAAACAUGUUUUUAAAUACCACAUGGAGUUUAGUGUGGACUAUGGAAAAGGGGCUGAUUUGUCGAGAAGGGUCAAAAACACUGUUAAGUUGGAGUUCCCACGAGUGAAAGGAGCAGGAGACAAAGUAAAGUACAGGUAUAAAUAUGAAGAAGAGCCGCGGAAGGGACAUGGAAGAGACUUAACGGCCUCGGACAUAAGAUUACCAGGUUAAUGCGCUAGAUUGAUGGGAUAGAAAGGACUGACAAAACCCGGGACUAGGAGGAAGAGACGCUGGAUGAAGAUUGGAAGAAAAAAAAAUUUUUUUUAUUAGGAUUGUCUUAUAAAAUUGAUGAACGUUAGAAAAAUGUUGGAACGAAAUUAUUUGGCUUUAGUAAAAAUGUUUAAAGAAUUAUGUAAGAAUAUUAUGGUUAUGAGAAAUUGGUAUAAAUAAGAUCUAAGUUUUAAGUUUUAAGGUCUUUUAUAGCGAGAUAAGAUUAAAAUAGAUUAAGGUAAUGUAAUGACAGAAUAUUAUGAAAAAUGGAAAGGAUUUGCUGUGACAAUUAACAACCAGGAUACAAAAAAAGGGAGGAGUGAGGAGGUCAAAGAAAGAAGGUAAUGACAGUUAAGGAUUUGAGAAUAUUGGAUUUGUUUUUAAAUGUUUGUGGCCUAUUUUUGUUUUUUGACUGUGUUGUGUUAUUGUUUGAUGGUGGUUUGUUUCUCCUUUGUUUUUUCCCCCUCUCUUUUUCUUUUUUGUUUUUUUUUCUGUAAUUCUAAAAUUCUUAAUAAAUAUCAUUUUAAAAAAAAAUCGUCGCCAGUUUAACAGGGGUUAAAUACCAUCUAUACAUCAUUUUCAUAAUAUUUUCCUUUAACAUUGUACAUGCAGUAAACUUAACCCCUUUCCUCCAAAGUUUCUCCCAGUGCUCCGUCAUUAUGUUAUGUCUCCCUUGAGUGAUUCAUAUUUCAUCCUUUGUUGGCCCAGCCCCACCGCAGACAAAGACAAGCAAUUGGAGUGAUAUUAGCCAGGCAGGGCAGCUCUUUGUCUCCUGAUACUGUGCUGCUAAACUGUCAGCCAGUGGUGCAAAGCCUUGAGUGUAUUAGCUCUUUCCCUGCCCAGGGCACUCUCUUUCUCCAGAUGCCUCCACUUCUUUGGCCUGAAAUCAGCUUGUGGUGCCAGCAAGCCUAUGCUACAAAUAUGGAAACUUGGAAACCUAAUUAACAUUCAUUCCUUGAAACGGAGAGUUUUUUCAUGCAGAGAGAGAGAGCGCGUGCAGGUCUGGUGUCCAGGGUCAGCCUGUUCAAAAAGCCCACAGCCCAGAAGGGAGGGGACCAUUUACAAGGCCAGACCAGGGCGUGCACCAUUCAUGCUUGAACUGCAGGUCACCCUAUGCACUGGAAUGGGGCAGUAUUGGUAUGCAACAAUGGUACUGAAUACCAGUGUUGGUAGUGUUUUUAUAUAUGUUGGAAGCAGCCCAGAGUGGCUGGGGCAACCGUCAGAUGGGCGGGAUACAAAUAAUAAAUUAUUAUGAAUGAAUAAUAAUAAUAAUAGUGACCCCCACUUGAGAAAACAGGGUCUUAUAAGUAACACCUCCCAUUGCCAUGUGUUAUGCAAUGAGACACCAAGGAGUUUUGUGUCUGUUUUUCAAGGGGUCCUCAACAGACCAGUCAAUUGGGGGGGGGCCUCUGUGGUGGAACUGAUGCUGAUGCUCUGCAUGCAGAAGGCACCAUGUGGGCCCUGUUUCCAGGCAAGGGGCUCUUGAAUAGAUACUGAUAUUAUACAAAAAAAUGGGGUUGGCUUUUACAGCCCAACUCCCCAUCAUGGGAUUCCGUGUCCCCUAAGCCCAUCAUUUAAUCAGAUAAGAAGGGAUGGAGGCAGGAACCAAUCAAAGCAAGGCAGAUCUUUAUUUUUCUGUUGCAACAGAGUCCCCCCUGGCUCCCUGCAACUUGCAAGGAGGUGAGGUCGCAGUUGACAAAGACUUUUGAAAUUGCCCAAGCCACUGACCACUGGUCCUGUUAGCUAGGGAUGAUGGGAGUUGUAGUCACAAAACAUCUGGAGGGCCGAGUUUGCCUAUGCCUACCUUAGUCAAAGACCACGUGAAAACAUCAUACCUCACAGAAAGAGGUAUCUACAAUAGAUAAUAUGCCCGUAAGAUAGGAUUUUUAUAUGCCUUUUGUCUUUGUCCAUGGAGUUUUCUUGGCAGGGAUAUUGGAGUGGCUUGCCAGUUCCUGCUCCAGGUGGAUCACGUUUGGUCAAAACUCUCCACUAUGACCUGUCCAUCUUGGGUGGCCCUGCACGGCAUAGCUCAUAGCUUCUCUGAGUUAUUCAAGCCCCUUUGCCACGGCAAGGCAGUGAUUCAUGAAGGGGCAUUUCCAGACUAAACAUACCCAACUCCAUCAACCAUUUCUCCUAAGACUUGGUUUCCAGUAACUUGACCAGCUACAAAGCCAUCUAACAGUUACCUCAUCCAGUCCACAUUUUACCAGCUUCUCUACAAUAAUAUUGGGGGGAGGGGGCUUUAUCAAAAGCCUUAAUGAAACUCACAGCAUUCCUCUGAUCCAACAAGCUUGUAACUAUCAAAAAAAGAAAUGGAGGCAGUGAUAGAUUUUACUUUCUUGGGCUCCAUGAUCACUGUAGAUGGUGACGGCAGCCACAAAAUUAAAAGACGCCUGCUUCUUGGGAGAAAAGCAAUGACAAACCUAGACAGCAUCUUAAAAAGCAGAGACAUCACCUUGCCAACAAAGGUCCGUAUAGUAAAAGCUAUGGUUUUCCCAGUAGUGAUGUAUGGAAGUGAGAGCUGGACCAUAAAGAAGGCUGAUCGCCGAAGAAUUGAUGCUUUUGAAUUAUGGUGCUGGAGGAGACUCUUGAGAGUCCUAUGGACUGCAAGAAGAUCAAACCUAUCCAUUCUGAAGGAAAUCAGCCCUGAGUGCUCACUGGAAGGACAGAUUGUGAAGCUGAGGCUCCAAUACUUUGGCCACCUGAUGAGAAGAGAAGACUCCCUGGAAAAGACCUUGAUGUUGGGAAAGAUGGAGGGCACAAGGAGAAGGGGACGACAGAGGACGAGAUGGUUGGAUAGUGUUCUCGAAGCUUCCAGCAUGAGUUUGACCAAACUGCGGGAGGAAGUGGAAGACAGGAGUGCCUGACAUGCUCUAGUCCAUGGGGUCAGGAAGAGUCGGACACGACUAAAGGACUAAACAACAACAACAGUCUGGAAAUGAGGAGACUGAGAGGAUAGCUAUCUUCAACUGUCUAAAGAGCUGUCACAUGGAAGAGGAUGCAAGCUUGUUUUCGCCUGCUCUUUAGAGUAGGACUCAAACCAAUGGCUUCCAGUUAGAAGAAAGGCGAUUCUGACUAAACAUCAGGAAGAACUUUCUGACCGUAAGAGCUGCUUGUCAGUGGAAUGGUGGCACUGUUUGACAGUGGAACGGUCUCUUGUGGAAGGUGGUUCCUUCCAACUCUACAAUUCUAUAAUUCUUUGAUGCAUGUCACCUCUUGCUUGCCUUUCAUCAGAACAUAAAAGCCUCUAAUACUGUAACCUUUCCUUCUAUGGGUGACACUCCGUCCCCUUGAUCACAUGGGUUGCCCUUUUCUGAACCUUUACUAAAUCAUUCUUGACAUGAGGCCAGCAGGAUUAUACACAGGACUCCAAGUCUGGUUGCAACCCAGAUUUGUAGAGACAUCACAAUAUAGGCAGUUUUAUUUUCAAUCCCUUUCCUAAUAAUUCCUAGCGUGGGAUUCACCUUUCUCAUAACUGCAGGAGGCAGUGGAAGACAGAAGUGCCUGGCGUGCUCUAGUCCAUGGGGUCACGAAGAGUCGGACACGACUAAACGACUAAACAACAACAAAACACCUGUAAAAUUAGCAAAAAUGUAUAGAACUGCUUCAAAUGUUUGCUGGAAAUGUAAGGAGAAAGAACACACGUUCUACCAUAUGUGGUAUUCUGGGAAAUGAUUUACAAAGAGUUGAAAAAAAUGUUUAAAAUAACAUUUGUGGGGAAAAACAGAUGCUUUUUUUGCUAGCUAUUCUAGGUACAGAGAUUCUGAAGGAGCAGAAACAACUAUUCGUGUAUGCAAUGACAGCAGCGCGGAUACUACUGGCCCAGAGAUGGGAAGAAGUUGAAGUUCCAGCCAGAGAUGAAUGGCUGAUGAAGAUGAUGGACUACACCAAAAUGGCAAAACUGACUGGGAAAAUCAGAAAUGAGGAAGAGAAGAAUUUUAGGAAGGAAUGGGAAAAAAUUAUAAUGUAUUUAAGAGAAUACUGUAAACAACUAAAAACCCUUUGGCAGGAUUGAAGUAAUGCUUGUAAUGUACAAAAAACUAUGGAAAAACGGAUUACUAUUCUUUUUAAAAAAUAGAGAAAAUAAUGGUAACCGUGGAAGGACAGAGGGAAGUCAAAGGAUUCAGGGAAUCCUAAAUGAUGGUGUCAGGGGUUCAGGAGCAGAGGCAAGGGCAAGGGAGGAAACAGAGAGCGAGGGGGAGGAGGCAGAAGAAAAGAUGAGUGAUGACGACGACCCGAGAUCUCCGAGUCUUUCCAGUGAAUCAGAAGAUUCACAGAAAGGAGCACCAGUGGCCAGGGCAAGGGGGAGCCUAGGGGACGCCCCAGGAAGAUAGAGCCAGAGGGGACUCAGAGGGGAGCAGUUGGAAAUCGGGACCAGCGUCACCGCCAGAGAGCAGGGAAGAGGAAGGGAGCCAGGGAUCAAGCGCUGGCAGCUCACAACAGGGGGGAGGGCACGAGUCAGGAGUGGCCACACCUCCAUCGGGGAGCGAAGAAACGGUCAGACGGAAGGUGGAAGGUUGGGCGCGCGCGCCAAGUUCAAAUGCACAGGAAGGUGGCACAGUAGGCAGCCCGGAAAGGGAGCCAGGUCCUAAAGCCCGCCGAAAGGAGGGAGAAGAGUCAGGAGCGUCAGCGUCAGAGGAAUCCCGGAAAGAAGAGACCCCAGGGGGCAGAGGGACCCAGAGAAGAACAGUCAGGCGGAAAAGGUGGAGCAGGGCUAGGAUAUUAAGUUGGUGUACAAGGGGCGGAGACUCAGACGGAGCUUCGCCGGUCUAACCAUGAGACGUAGAGUUGCACGCAGCAGUUUGAGAAUGGAAACUGUAACUCAAUAAAGACUUUUGUUUAAUGAUCGCUGGCUAGCGUGAUCCUCUGUGAGCUAGGAUCUGGAAGCAGCUCUGACAGUAAGCUCCGUCUCACUAAAUUGUGGGCAUCUACAGCCUCGCGGAGAGGAGAGAAAGCGGGUGCCUACUAGCGAGCUCACGAAAGGCAGACAAUAUGACGGCCGAACAGCAGAUAGCGGAACUCAGAGAAGCAGUGUCACGACUGAAUGCCGAGGCUCUUGCAUCCAGGAAGAGAGAGGAGGACGCAGCUGCCGCCUACAGGGAUCUCCAGGUCAGGUUGGAAGUGCUUACGAAGCAAGGGCAACUGACACCCAAACCGGAGGGGAUUGGGUUGGGGAGACGAACAGGCGGUCUGGUCUCUCACUUCGAUGGGAAUUUGCAACAGUACCCCAACUUUAGAGCAGAUGUAAUGU